UGGGGAAUUUUGGACAAUGGGGGAAACCCUGAUCCAGCCAUCCCGCGUGUGCGAUGAAGGCCUUCGGGUUGUAAAGCACUUUUGGCAGGAAAGAAACGUCAUGGGUUAAUACCCCGUGAAACUGACGGUACCUGCAGAAUAAGCACCGGCUAACUACGUGCCAGCAGCCGCGGUAAUACGUAGGGUGCAAGCGUUAAUCGGAAUUACUGGGCGUAAAGCGUGCGCAGGCGGUUCGGAAAGAAAGGUGUGAAAUCCCAGAGCUCAACUUUGGAACUGCAUUUUUAACUACCGGGCUAGAGUGUGUCAGAGGGAGGUGGAAUUCCGCGGGUAGCAGUGAAAUGCGUAGAUAGGCGGAGGAACACCGAUGGCGAAGGCAGCCUCCUGGGAUAACACUGACGCUCAUGCACGAAAGCGUGGGGAGCAAACAGG
RNAcentral lists this ribosomal RNA (429 nucleotides) under Acidobacteriota bacterium. Its description in RNAcentral is "Acidobacteria bacterium partial 16S ribosomal RNA". It matches the Rfam family "Bacterial small subunit ribosomal RNA", at positions 355 to 776 of the family's 1533-position model. The record is from RNAcentral. Lineage: Bacteria; Pseudomonadati; Acidobacteriota.